AUGGGCCGCGGCCGUGUCAGGAGGCGCCCACCGACCCCCUCCGACUCCUCAUCGUCGGAGGAGGAGCUCCUGCUGCCGGUCGGCGUGGAGGCGGAGGAUGAGGACGAGGCGGACGAUGAGUCGGAGGACGACCACGAGCUCAUACUUCUGCCGGUCGGCGCGGAGGUGGAGGUGCGCAGCGACGACCCGGGCUUCGCCGGCUCCUUCUACGAGGCCACCGUCGCCGGCCACCUGCUCUCCGCCGGCCGCCGCGGGCGCUACACGGUGGAAUACACCACGCUCCUGGCCGACGACGGGGACGACGAGCCGCUCACGGAGACCGCGUCCGCCGCCAACGUGCGGCCGCGGCCACCACCGCUCGAGCAAAGGGAGUUCGCGGUCCACGAGAUGGUGGAGGCGUUCCACAACGACGGGUGGUGGGCCGGCGUGGUCUGCGCCGUCGUCCCGCCGCCAGUGAUGGACGGAGAUCGCCGGCAGCCCAGGGCGUACUACAGGGUCACGUUCCCCACCUCGCGGGAGACGCUGGAGUUCGAGGUGACGGAUCUGCGGCCGCACCGCGUGUUCGAGGACGGCCGGUGGGUCCCGGCUGCAGAGCUGGACGAUGGAAGUCCUUUGUUCGGUGAGGGAAACCAAGUUGAAGUGAGUGGAAAAUCCUUCGGUGAAUCCUGGAGUCCAGCUACUGUUCUUAAAGUGAUCGGUGGUACAAAUUUUCUAGUACAGUACAUGCAUAUUGAAAAUGACGGGGAAUUGGCCACUGAGAUUGUCGAUUCUCAAGAUAUUCGGCCAGCACGCGCCUUCACCCGUAUGGACUCCAAGUACAGAUUUUCUCCUCCUUCUCAUGUUGAGGUCCACCAUGAAGGUAGCUGGUGGCCUGGUGUUAUUAAUAAGGUUUUAGGUAGUGGAAUCAACAAGAAGUAUGUGGUGAAAUUGAAGAAUCACGAGACAGACAUGGAAGACGUGCAACCUGUUGAUGUUUUGACGGUUGAAAAUACGCAACUAAGGCCACGGUUUGACUGGGACGGUAAAAAAUGGGUACGCUGCGUGAAAGAGGAAUCUUCUAAUGAACCUCGAUUUACUUCUCGAAAAAGGCUAGUUUCUGCCUUGUAUGAUGACUCUGAUAAAACCGGUAAUGAAGCCGAUUCUCGUCGUGACAAAAAGUUGAAGAAUAAAGAUGUGAUAUCAGGACAAAUUUCUCCUCUUCCUUUGUCCAUUUGCAACGAGAACAAUGAAAUUACUCAUAAUCAAGGAAAUGCAGUAUUGGCAUUACGGUCUGAGCUAUCACUUCCUUCACUGCCACCAUUGGCAGCAUUUAACCAGCUGAGUUCAUCUUCACUUGCUCCAAGCUGUCAUCUGGAACAAGCAUCUUCUCAGAUGGUUAUCAUACCAUCUAUGCCAGAAAGUCGGCAGUUACGGGCUUUGUUGUUUGGAGCAUUUGGACAACCAACAGCUGACCUACAGGACCGACUAUUAGGUUCACAAGAGGGUAGUGGAAUAGUUGAUCUUCAUCAAGGAGGCUAUGAUGGUGAAACUAGUGUUGAGCAGGACACUGGUGAAGAAUUAUGUCAGAGGUAUUUGGUUAUGGAUGAUAAUGCCAAUGUUCCUUUGUUGCCCUCAGCAGAGAGUUGUGAAGCUAAUUUGCGCGACAACCGGCUGUCCAAGGACAACACUGCAGCUGCGGUGGAGUGUGUUACUUGUUAUGCUGCUCCAGCCGAGGACUUGUCUCUCAUACCUGUAGCUACUUUAGAUGGUGUUGUACCUUUAGAGUGGGAUUUGGAGGUCAAUAUAACUGAAGAUAUGGAUGGGGAGAUUCAUCAAGGGAAUUUGGUUGGGUUAGCCAACAAUGGGAAUCAAAAUCAGUAUACCAGUGCUGAUUGUCCAUUCUCAGCCACAUUCUCAGCCACAUCCUUAGCUGCACUCGAGGAUGACAUGAUUACCACUGAAAGUCCAAGCAGGAAGUUCUUCUUAUGCAGUAGCCAAUCCACCGAGAAGUCGACAGUAACUCGGCUGUCUUCUGUUGGUAUGAGCAAUUAUAGUGUGACAGAACCUUCCGAUGAUAGCUUGACCAUAACAAAUGGUGUGGAGGGCACAACAGUAUCCACGUAUGUUGCAGUAAGUGAUUCUGUCCUACCAUUGUUGCCGGAAUCUGUAGCUAUGCAUGAGAGUACCAUGGGAUCCUUGGCAAUCCAGCGUCUUCCAUUCGUGAAGACCUCUCCAAUGUGGGCACAUCUUGAGGCACUGGAAAUAUUCAGGAAAGCGCCACAGCGGCCACAUUUUCAUCAGUUCGAACAGUAUUGUCCAGAGCUCCGCGAAGGGAUGGCAUUAGGUUUGAUGCACUCCUUUGCCAAUUUAGCAGAAAGCAUAAACAUGCUGGAUGUUCAGGGUGACAAAGAACAACUCGAACAGAAGAUGAAGAGCCUCGCUUUGCUCGAGGAGAAUGGUUUCGACGUCACGUACCUGAGAUCACGCGUGGAAACUUUACUCGCCACAGAUGAUAGUCGCGUCGAAGAGCUGGAGGAGAAGAUUGCUCGCAUAGAAACCAACGACCAAGAACUCGGCACGCGAGUUCGCGCGCUGGCCAUGACCGUCCAUCGUCUCGAACUGCAUGCGUAUCUCAUGCGCAACAUGAUGCGGUCUGUUAUCACGCGGAAGAUGAGCAAUGCUGUGAAGAUCUCAAGACUCAAGGCAGAAGCGAACGAUCUUGAGAGAUCGUAUCUUUCCAACGCCGCGCCACGGUGA
Molecule: ribosomal RNA, 2736 nt
Filed under: Triticum aestivum (bread wheat)
Lineage: Eukaryota; Viridiplantae; Streptophyta; Magnoliopsida; Poales; Poaceae
Description: partial small subunit ribosomal RNA
Source: RNAcentral